CGUAAAGAGCUCGUAGGUGGUUUGUCGCGUUGUUCGUGAAAUCUCACGGCUUAACUGUGAGCGUGCGGGCGAUACGGGCAGACUUGAGUACUGCAGGGGAGACUGGAAUUCCUGGUGUAGCGGUGGAAUGCGCAGAUAUCAGGAGGAACACCGGUGGCGAAGGCGGGUCUCUGGGCAGUAACUGACGCUGAGGAGCGAAAGCGUGGGGAGCGAACAGGAUUAGAUACCCUGGUAGUCCACGCCGUAAACGGUGGGUACUAGGUGUGGGUUUCCUUCCUUGGGAUCCGUGCCGUAGCUAACGCAUUAAGUACCCCGCCUGGGGAGUACGGCCGCAAGGCUAAAACUCAAGGAAAUUGACGGGGGCCCGCACAAGCGGCGGAGCAUGUGGAUUAAUUCGAUGCAACGCGAAGAACCUUACCUGGGUUUGACAUGCACAGGACGCCGGCAGAGAUGUCGGUUCCCUUGUGGCCUGUGUGCAGGUGGUGCAUGGCUGUCGUCAGCUCGUGUCGUGAGAUGUUGGGUUAAGUCCCGCAACGAGCGCAACCCUUGUCUCAUGUUGCCAGCGGGUAAUGCCGGGGACUCGUGAGAGACUGCCGGGGUCAACUCGGAGGAAGGUGGGGAUGACGUCAAGUCAUCAUGCCCCUUAUGUCCAGGGCUUCACACAUGCUACAAUGGCCGGUACAAAGGGCUGCGAUGCCGCGAGGUUAAGCGAAUCCUUUUAAAGCCGGUCUCAGUUCGGAUCGGGGUCUGCAACUCGACCCCGUGAAGUCGGAGUCGCUAG
This 781-nucleotide ribosomal RNA is filed under the name uncultured bacterium. Its description in RNAcentral is "bacterial SSU rRNA". It matches the Rfam family "Bacterial small subunit ribosomal RNA", at positions 559 to 1338 of the family's 1533-position model. The record is from RNAcentral.